This 492-nucleotide ribosomal RNA is filed under the name uncultured bacterium. Its description in RNAcentral is "partial 16S ribosomal RNA". It matches the Rfam family "Bacterial small subunit ribosomal RNA", at positions 29 to 507 of the family's 1533-position model. The record is from RNAcentral.
AGUGAACGCUGGCGGUAGGCCUAACACAUGCAAGUCGAACGGCAGCACAGUAAGAGCUUGCUCUUACGGGUGGCGAGUGGCGGACGGGUGAGGAAUACAUCGGAAUCUACUUUUUCGUGGGGGAUAACGUAGGGAAACUUACGCUAAUACCGCAUACGACCUACGGCUGAAAGCAGGGGAUCUUCGGACCUUGCGCGAUUGAAUGAGCCGAUGUCGGAUUAGCUAGUUGGCGGGGUAAAGGCCCACCAAGGCGACGAUCCGUAGCUGGUCUGAGAGGAUGAUCAGCCACACUGGAACUGAGACACGGUCCAGACUCCUACGGGAGGCAGCAGUGGGGAAUAUUGGACAAUGGGCGCAAGCCUGAUCCAGCCAUACCGCGUGGGUGAAGAAGGCCUUCGGGUUGUAAAGCCCAUUUGUUGGGAAAGAAAAGCAGCAGGUUAAUACCCCGCUGUUCUGACGGUACCCAAAGAAUAAGCACCGGCUAACUUCGUG